Long non-coding RNA from Oncorhynchus masou masou (cherry salmon), 2362 nucleotides. RefSeq lists it as uncharacterized. The transcript is spliced from 3 exons. The record is from RefSeq and is a predicted model, not a curated record. NCBI's taxonomy places the organism in Eukaryota, Metazoa, Chordata, Actinopteri, Salmoniformes, Salmonidae.
GUCAGGGCUUUGGAAAGUCCUUUGUCACUUUUUUUGAGAACAGAAAAACACCUCCUGUGGUUUUCACACCACCCAUGGUUUGGUAGCGUGCUGAGGUCUUACUGGGGAUCUUGACCAUGGACAGCUCCUUGUUGUAGCGUGUCAUGUUGCAUGGUGUCCUACAGAUGCAGUUACUACUCUCCAGCAUUGACAACUUGGCUACAGUAGAGAAGACAGGGAGACAUGAAGGAGAGGAUGAAGGGAUGGAUGGAAGAGAGGGAAGCACAGCCGAGAGCUGCCCAGUGACACGAGCCUACCAGACGAGCUAAACUACUUCUAUGCUUGCUUCGAGGCAAAUGACACUGAAACAUGCAUGAGAGCACCAGCUGUUCUGGAAGACUGUGUGAUCACAUUCUUCGCAGCCAAUGUGAGUAAGACCUUUAAAAAAGUCAACAUUUACAAGGCUGCAGGGCCAGACGGAUUACCAGGACGUGUAUUGCAAGCAUGCGCUGACCAACUGGCAAGAGUCUUCACUGACAUUUUGAACCUCUCCCUGACCGAGUCUGUAAUACCAACAUGCUUCAAGCAGACCACCAUAGUCCCUGUGCCCAAGAACAUUAAGGUAACCUGCUUCAAUGACUACCAACCCGUAGCACUCACGUCUGUAGCCAUGAAGUACUUUGAAAGGCUGUCGUGGCUUACAUGAACAUCAUUAUCCCAGAAACCCUAGACCCACUCCAAUUGUAUACUGCCCUAACAGAUCCACAGAUGAAGCAAUCUCUAUUGCACUCCAAACUGCCCGUUCCCACCUGGACAAAAGGAACACCUAUGUGAGAAUGCUAUUCAUUGACUACAGCUCAGGGUUCAACAGCAUAGUGCCCUCAAAGAUCAUCACUAAACUAACAACACAUCCGCCACACUGAUCCUCAACACAGGGGCCCCUCAGGGUUGUGUGCUCAGCCCUCUCCUGUACUCCCUGUUCACUCAUGACUGCACAGUGAGGCACGACUCCAACACCAUCAUUAAGUUUGCAGAUGACACAACAGUUGUAGGCCUGAUCACCGACAACGAUGAGACAGCUUAUAGGGAGGAGGUCAGAGACCUGGCCGUGUGGGGCCAGAACAACAACAUCUCCCUCAACGUGAUCAAGACAAAGGAGUUAAUUGUGGACAACAGGAAAAAGAGGACCAAGCACACCACCAUUCUCACUGACGGGGCUGUAGUGGAGCAGGUUGAAAGCUUCAAGUUCCUUGGUAUCCACAUCACCAACAAACUAACAUGGUCCAAGCACACCAAGACAACCUCUGGAGAUUGAAAAUAUUUGGCAUGGGUCCUCAGAUCCAUAAAAGGUUCUACAGCUGCACCAUCGAGAGCAUCUUUACUGGUUGCAUCACUGCCUGGUAUGGCAACUGCCCGGCCUCUGACCGCAAGGCACUACAGUGGGUAGUGCGUAGGGUCCAGCCAUCCAGGACCUCCAUACCAGGCGGUGUUAGAAGAAGACUCCUGCCACCCUAGUCAUAGACUGUUCUCUCUGCUACCACAAGCAGUACAGGAGCACCAAGUCUAGGUCCAAGAGGCUUCUAAACAGCUUCUACCCACAAGCCAUAAGACUCCUGAACAUAUACUCAAAUGGCUACCCAGACUAUUUACACCGUUGCUACUCUCUGUUGUUAUCAUCUAUGCAAAGUCACUUUAAUAACUCUACCUACAUGUACAUAUGACCUCGACUAACUGGUGCCUCCGCACAUUGACUCUGUACCUGUACGCCCUUGUUGUCACGCCUUGGUCUUAGUAUUUUGUGUUUUAGUUAAUUAGUUGGUCAGGCCAGGGUGUGACAUGGGUUUAUUGUUUGUUGUAUUUCUUAGUGGGGUUUUUUAGUUAUUGGGAUUGUGGCUGAUUAGGGGUGUGUGUUGCAUAGGUUUGGCUGCCUGAGGCGGUUCUCAAUCAGAGUCAGGUGAUUCUCGUUGUCUCUGAUUGGGAACCGUAUUUAGGUAGCCUGGGUUUCACUUUGUAUUUCCUGGGUGAUUGUUCCUGUCUCUGUGUUAGUGUUCACCAGACAGGCUGUAUAGGUUUUUCACGUUCCGUUUGUUGUUUUUGUAUGUAAUAGUUAUUUCAUGUAUCGUCAUUUGUUUCAUUAAAUUAAUGAGUAACCAACACGCUGCAUUUCGGUCCGACUUUCUUGCGACAAACGAAGAACACUGUUACACUUGUAUAUAUUCUCGCUAUUGUUAUUUUACUGCUGCUCUUUAAUUACUUGUUACGUUUAUUUCUUAUUCUUAUUCGUAUUUUUAUUUAAAAACAUACAUUUGUAAUAGUUUUUAUUUAUCUAAAAAAAACUGUAUUGUUAGUUGUGGAUCGUAAGUAAGCAUUUCACUGUGUUUGU